CCCCCUCCACCGCCGUUGCUGCUUCUUGAUCACAAUAGCCCAUCCACCUCGCCUUCCUUCUUUUCGUUGUCUAUAUGCGGCCGUCGGCGGCGCCUGGUUUCAGAUCGGGCGCAGGUUAGGCGAGCUCGAUGGUGGGUUGCGUGAGGCUACAUCUACAUGCAGAGGGAGUAGGCCGAGGACAGGGUGAAGGAGUAGGCCGGCCCUCAUGGCCAUGGGGGCGGCGCCGUUGGCUUGCCGGACGCCGUCCCUCUCAACCCGAGCUCGCCUCACCCUCGCGGCGACGACCAGUAGCUCGAGUAGGAAGGGUGAGGGGCCAUCAAGAUCUAGCUGGCAGCGUUCUCCCUGGCGUCCGCACACAGAGGACUGGCGGCCUCUGGUCAGUGGUCACCGGUUGGUGCCUCUUCUCUCCUCGUGCCACCGGCCUCCACCUCCUCCAUCCCUCGAUUCAGCCAAGGCGACGGGGAUCAAGAUCCAGGGCGGCACACAUCAUCCUCCCGUUUCCCCUCUGCCUACCACCGAGCCUAGAGAUGGCAGUAGCAAGGAGCAUGAGAGGGGUGACUGGAUCAGGUGGUCCAUGCUGAAGAAGAGGGCGUUCGUCUGAUAAUGUUCAUGGCCUUGUUGUGGUAACACCAUGGUCCGUGGGGAACAAGAAUAACACCUCUGCUACAACCGAAGUCUGGACCUCCACCGACAAUGACAUCUCUAGGUGACUCUACAUAAUUGCAUCUUUAAUUUGUUGGUUGCGCAGUACAUAUUUUGGUCUUUUUUUGCAUGUUUUGUUGACUUCAUCUGCGGCUAGCUGACCGCAGCAUGCUUUACUGACUCAACUAUGAUGACACGGAUGUAAGGGAAACCAUGUGAGUGUAUUUUGGCUGCUUGCCGACGGAAAGUGCCCACUAGAUUCAUAUCUGCUUGAACCAUGAUCCCGCCGUUAAAAUGUGCAACUGUGUAUGGCGCAACAAAGCUUACAUUCCGUGCAUUAAGCUGAACACUCUGAGUGGGCUUAACUAUUUCUGUUGACAAAUCACUUUUGUAACUUAAAAUACAUCGGUGAUUACUGGAGUUCCGGAGAAACAUUCUUCUUAUUGUUUACAUAUGAUCAAGAUAUGGCAAAGCCCUUCAUGGGAUUCAAGGGGAAUAUGCAACAUAUGUGGUGCCUUUUGUAAGCUAAGCCGGGUUAUUGAAGUAAUUGUUCUUCAGUUUUGUCAGUCGUCACAUGAACAUGAUGAACGUGAAGAGACAAUGAAAGAACGAAAGAAGGGGAUAAAGUUCCUUGCAGCACCUAUAGUGAUAGCAUCUCGAGGGAUUGACAGGGGACGCCUGUACCCGUUCGGCCCUCCGCAAGACUUGUCGUCGUCGUUCUUCUCCAAAGAUCUUGUCCCUACAGAGGUUAGCAAAUAAGUGGAAAAGAUAGAGACACAGGGCCUUGGUUUGGUUUCUGUUGGCAAAUAAUCUGGAAUAGUAGCGGUUGCUGCCCACAUGAUUUGUUUUCAUAUACAUUAUAAUUCAGAGGCAGGUUGGAUUCUGGAAAUCAGAGUCAAUGGUGGAUCAGAGAGGCGCCAUAUUAGUUCAGUUGUUAUCUACCUUGAUGCCAUACUAAUUUCUGUGAAUCCAAAAUUGCUGGCACCAGUUCCUGUUGCCUGUUGGUGCAAGGACCCACGCCUUCCAUCUGAGAAAUGUAAAGGAUGGAUCAAUUGGCAUGGUCAGCUCAUGUAUAGUUCUUUGUCUCUCUGGAAGAUGACAUGCAUCUCACCACACAAUCCCAGGUUAAUGGAUUGCGAAAGCUACAAUGUAGAUGCAUUAUGCCUUUAUUUUCUGGGUACUAACUUCAGAUGUCCAGUUUGUUACUGUUACCUGUACCAAUGUAUCCUUAAGAUAAUAACUUUAGAUAAACAAUCUGCUGCGUACUAAUGUAUAUUUCUAUACAAGCUAUCCUUGCAGCUUUUUUAGGCAAGAUAUCCUCAAUGGCUGUUACGCCUUGG
Triticum aestivum (bread wheat) is the source of this 1982-nucleotide long non-coding RNA. RefSeq lists it as uncharacterized. The transcript has 5 exons. NCBI's taxonomy places the organism in Eukaryota, Viridiplantae, Streptophyta, Magnoliopsida, Poales, Poaceae. The record is from RefSeq and is a predicted model, not a curated record.